Molecule: long non-coding RNA, 695 nt
Organism: Lycium barbarum (goji berry)
Lineage: Eukaryota; Viridiplantae; Streptophyta; Magnoliopsida; Solanales; Solanaceae
Exons: 3
Source: RefSeq, a predicted model, not a curated record
CCCAAAAGUUAUUUUCACACUUAAACUAUCCUAGCGACCCAUUACACACCUAAUAUAUGAAAAAGUGAUAUUUUUUACUCCCUCAUAUAAUAUGACCAGUUGCACUAGGGGAGAGUGUACACACUCUCUCCCCACAUCAGCGCCACGUCAGUCCACAUCAGCGCCACGUCAAAAAAUCCUCUAAUUUUUAAUUUUAUAUUUUUUUUCCUUUCCCCUCCUCCCCCACCCUCCCUUUCUUCUUUAUCCCUACUCCCUUUCUUUUUCACACUUUCAGCUCAAAUAUGAAAUUGCUCCCAGUGACACUGCUCUAAAUUUGUAAAUCUUUAUUCUAUUGAUUGGUAAUUUGUUCAACUGGAAGCAAUGGUACUGACCAACUUCAAUGAACCAGUGUCGGUUUUGGUGCUGGCAUUGGUUGUGGAUUUGGGGUAGGAUGGGGUUUUGGAGCUAUACCAAAAUACACCAAGCUUCUGUGGCUGGAGUGGUUAUUCGGUGUGGCUCUGCCUCUGCCAGCCCAGGUUUGAAUCUAGCUAACCACAUUAUUUUUCUUAUAUAUUUUUUCUAGCUUCUUCUCCUUGUAUUUUGAGUGUAUCUGAGUAUAUUUCGUCAUAUGUAUUUGGCUCAUAUUGUAUCUCAUAUGUAUUUGGCCUGAGUGUAUUUCGUCAUAUAUAUUUGCCUCAUAUUGUAUUUGAUAUGUA